Molecule: long non-coding RNA, 392 nt
Filed under: Setaria viridis
Lineage: Eukaryota; Viridiplantae; Streptophyta; Magnoliopsida; Poales; Poaceae
Description: long non-coding RNA (SVIR_LNC010341)
Source: RNAcentral
AAGAAUGAAGGCAUACAUGUUCCUCAUUUGUUGCUGAGUCAAAGACUGGAUCCUUUGGAGAAGCAAGCCAUACAACCUAAUCAAGAUGUGCAUGUGUGUGGAUGGUGAAUAUGGUGGAUGGUGUAUGGACUCCUUUUUGUACGAUCCUUCUCUCUCCUUGGUUUCUUUCUUUUGAGACAUGGGCUAUCUUUUUUCUCUUUCUUUCUCUUUUUUUUCAUCAUGCUUUCAUGAGCAUGUACUUUAUUUCUUUUUGCAUAGCCCAAGUCUCUUUUGCAAGGAUACUUUGGAGAGAGAGGUCAUAGAAAAACAUGGAGCUUUAUUUUGUGGAUGAAUGAAAUGAUAUGAUUGCUAACUUCCAGUGUAGAAGUUUAGCAUAUGGUGGUGGUGUGUAC